UACAGAGGGGGCAAGCGUUGUUCGGAAUUACUGGGCGUAAAGGGCGCGUAGGCGGCCGCCUAAGUCAGACGUGAAAUCCCUCGGCUUAACCGGGGAACUGCGUCUGAUACUGGAUGGCUUGAGUUUGGGAGAGGGACGCGGAAUUCCAGGUGUAGCGGUGAAAUGCGUAGAUAUCUGGAGGAACACCGGUGGCGAAGGCGGCGUCCUGGACCAACACUGACACUGAGGAGCGAAAGCCAGGGGAGCAAACGGG
This 253-nucleotide ribosomal RNA is filed under the name uncultured bacterium. RNAcentral describes it as "partial 16S ribosomal RNA". It matches the Rfam family "Bacterial small subunit ribosomal RNA", at positions 524 to 776 of the family's 1533-position model. The record is from RNAcentral.